Ictalurus punctatus (channel catfish) is the source of this 802-nucleotide long non-coding RNA. The record is from Ensembl. NCBI's taxonomy places the organism in Eukaryota, Metazoa, Chordata, Actinopteri, Siluriformes, Ictaluridae.
GCCACGCCCACAAAACUCCAUAAAAGGCAAAGCUCACGGAGAGGCGACUGAAAAACGACGAGUAAAUGGCGAUCGUUUUUAUGCCAUGGUCACUAGAUUUCUCCAGUCUCAGAAUUAUUCACCCCCUUCAUGGGCAUGUUUAGUACUCAGUAGAGCUCCUUUUGCUGGUAUGACCUGCUGCAAACGAGAUGCAGAUCUUCUGGCAGCGUUCCUGAGGAAUCUUCUCCCGUUCCUCAUGAGCAGUGUCCUCCAGUUCAGUAAUAUUCUUGGGUUUGCGUGCUGCAACCGCCUUCUUCAAAUCCCACCAGAGAUCUUCUAUCUCUGGGUUCUAGUCCGGAGACUGUGAUGACCCUGUAGAAUCUUCCAGGACUUCUUCUGCAACCCAGCCUCGGUGGAAUUUGAGGUUUCCAGUGCCAGAGGAUGCAGAGCAGCCCCACAGCAUCACCGAGCCUCCACCAUGCUCGACUGUGGACAGAGUGUUCUUUCUUCAUUCUUCUUCCUCCAGACGUACCGCUGAUCCCUCGUGCUGAAAAGUCCCAGAUUUGUUUCCUCGCUCCACAGAACAGAAUCCUAGAUCUUCCGUGGAUUUUUUUAUCUGAUUUUGAGCCACAAACCACUCGAAGCAGUCGUUGUGUCGAACUAUUUCAGCUGCUUUUGUUUGAUGUGUUCAUCGCAAACAUCUGAACAUUUUGACAAUAAACCUGAUUUGCCUAGUAGACCUAGUAGAUUUAAGAAUAGUUUCUUCCCGAAAGCUAUUACCAUGAUAAACAAACACAUGCACUGAGUCCACAGCAUAUGUAUA